CCUACGGGUGACAGCAGUGAGGAAUAUUGGUCAAUGGACGAGAGUCUGAACCAGCCAAGUAGCGUGAAGGAUGACUGCCCUAUGGGUUGUAAACUUCUUUUAUAUGGGAAUAAAAUGUUCCACGUGUGGGAUUUUGUAUGUACCAUAUGAAUAAGGAUCGGCUAACUCCGUGCCAGCAGCCGCGGUACUACGGAGGAUCCGAGCGUUAUCCGGCUUUAUUGGGUUUAAAGGGAGCGUAGGUGGAUUGUUAAGUCAGUUGGGAAAGUUUGCGGCUCAACCGUAAAAUUGCAGUUGAAACUGGCAGUCUUGAGUACAGUAGAGGUGGGCGGAAUUCGUGGUGUAGCGGUGAAAUGCUUAGAUAUCACGAAGAACUCCGAUUGCGAAGGCAGCUCACUGGACUGCAACUGACACUGAGGCUCGAAAGUGUGGGUAUCAAACAGGAUUAGAUACCCGUGUAGUC
This 460-nucleotide ribosomal RNA is filed under the name uncultured bacterium. Its description in RNAcentral is "partial 16S ribosomal RNA". It matches the Rfam family "Bacterial small subunit ribosomal RNA", at positions 338 to 795 of the family's 1533-position model. The record is from RNAcentral.